Long non-coding RNA from Cephus cinctus (wheat stem sawfly), 1011 nucleotides. RefSeq lists it as uncharacterized. The transcript is spliced from 3 exons. The record is from RefSeq and is a predicted model, not a curated record. NCBI's taxonomy places the organism in Eukaryota, Metazoa, Arthropoda, Insecta, Hymenoptera, Cephidae.
AAUAAAAAAUAAUAAUGUUAGAAUAAAACAAAAAUUGUACUAUUAAGCAGUAUGAACAAAGAGAAAUCCACUAAGAUCUAAGGUGCCUAAUUUAUUUUUUAGCAUCAAAGAAAAAGAAAUCACGUUUCGUGUUUAUAUUUACAUUCUCGUUUAACUUCUUUGAGCUUUUGAAAGUUGAAAACAAAUUUAUUUCCGAGCACUGUAUCUACGUUCAUCGGUAGGAAGGGAUAAAAUAUGAAACUGUGUGAAGUUGGCCAAACGGCAGUUCUAUUAUUUACAAACGAUUUUGUAUCUGUAUUGACAUUUAUUGCUUAUACAGAUACAAAAUUGCCUAUUAGUAAAAAUUAGUUGUAGCAUAAUUACUUAUGUAAUAAGGACGUAUAAGAAUGGCGAUAAUUUUGUACUAGAAAAUUUUCGACUGCGGCCAUUGUACCACUACCGUAUUCAAUAUUGGAGUUUUGCCAGGCACUACAUUUUAAUUAGUCGCGUUAAUUAGUACAAUCUACGCCCAUGAUAGAAUUAAAUGAAUAGUUUGAAGUGAUGGAGUAUUACUAUGGGACUCCUCCCAAGGGUAUAAUUCAUCAACGAAGUUCGCUGAACGUUUAUACGAUUAUUACAAACGAGAGGCAAUUUGUUCAUCGCGUAUAAUCCAGCGUGAAAAUUCAAUCUGAGCUCAUGGUUCUUAUCCAAUUUUUUAACGUGAAUGCAGGCCGGGAGUUUUACGGAGAUCUACUCCUUUGACCUGUUCUGUAAGAGACAGUAACAUAAUGCAGAAAAGGAUGAGGAGGAAAGCAUGAAAGCGCAGGAGCGUUUAUUCCGGUUGGAAGCGCGCGGCAUCCUCUAUUUUGAAGAACGGACUAUACGAGUAUGCAUAAGCGGAAAUGGCUAGAAACGAGUCGGAAAUGACAGUGUCAACGCACGCACGUAGAAGCGUGUCGUGACGAGGAAUCUCGAUUAAAUUUUAUACAAAGGGAACAAUUGCGUAAGGUUUACCAAAACUUUUUUUUUUUU